AGGUUUGUUUUUUAAAAUCAUUGUUUUGUGGAGAAAUUCAACAAAAUUAAUUAUAGCUGAUUAUAUUUUGCUCACCAGAUUAAGGGUGAAUCGGUUUUGCCCAGCCCACUGACCCAAAUAUGAAUCUAUUUUGGCAACACCCUCAAAGAAACAUGCAGGAUUAAUACUUUGUGUCUUUCAAUCCAAUCAAGUUGACAGUAUUAACCAUCACACAGGCUAAAGCAAAACAUAUGAUCUAAACACUCUACAGCUCAGGAAACUCUGAACAAAAGUGACUAAGAAUUCUAUUUUAAAACUAACACCCUUCUUUACAAAUUGGCAGUGUAGCAGUCGUUUCUUUUUAAGGAGAACUGAGGACGCUAUAAGCAAGCAGAAGACCCAGCUCCUGGGAAAUACCCUCUGGGAUGCAACUUCACUCCUUUUUAGUGGAUUCCUUCCCAGCAGCAAGCAUUUAUGGACAUGGUACAACAUAAAGGCAGGGUGCUAGGGAAUGCAAGGCAAAGUGAGAAUGACCGAAGCUGGGAAGAAAAGACGUAUCCUCCAGAAAUACAUACAAAUUCCCCUAAUGCAAGUUCUUGGAGAGUUACAUUUCCAAGCACUUACUUCAGGUGGUUUCUUGCUGGAUUCAACCAGCGGG
This 637-nucleotide long non-coding RNA is filed under the name Callithrix jacchus (white-tufted-ear marmoset). Its description in RNAcentral is "lncRNA (ENSCJAG00000064729.2)". Lineage: Eukaryota; Metazoa; Chordata; Mammalia; Primates; Cebidae. The record is from RNAcentral.